This 832-nucleotide ribosomal RNA is filed under the name uncultured Pseudomonadota bacterium. Its description in RNAcentral is "bacterial SSU rRNA". It matches the Rfam family "Bacterial small subunit ribosomal RNA", at positions 54 to 914 of the family's 1533-position model. The record is from RNAcentral. Lineage: Bacteria; Pseudomonadati; Pseudomonadota.
CAUGCAAGUCGAGCGGUAACAGGAGGAGCUUGCUCCUCGCUGACGAGCGGCGGACGGCUGAGUAACGCGUAGGAACGUACCCCAAAGUGAGGGAUAAGCACCAGAAAUGGUGUCUAAUACCGCAUGUGAUCUAAGGAUUAAAGCUUCGGCGCUUUGGGAACGGCCUGCGUAUGAUUAGCUUGCUGGUGAGGUAAUAGCUCACCAAGGCGACGAUCAUUAGCUGGUCUGAGAGGAUGAUCAGCCAGACUGGGACUGAGACACGGCCCAGACUCCUACGGGAGGCAGCAGUAGGGAAUUUUCCACAAUGGGCGAAAGCCUGAUGGAGCAACGCCGCGUGCAGGAUGAAGGCCUUCGGGUCGUAAACUGCUUUUAUAUGUGACGAUUAUGACGGUAGCAUAUGAAUAAGGAUCGGCUAACUCCGUGCCAGCAGCCGCGGUCAUACGGAGGAUCCAAGCGUUAUCCGGAAUUACUGGGCGUAAAGAGUUGCGUAGGUGGCAUAGUAAGCGAGUAGUGAAAUCGUGUGGCUCAACCAUACAUCCAUUACUUGAACUGCUAAGCUUGAAGACGAGAGAGGUAGAUGGAAUUCCCAGUGUAGGAGUGAAAUCCGUAGAUAUUGGGAGGAACACCGAUGGCGUAGGCAGUCUACUGGCUCGUUCUUGACACUAAGGCACGAAAGCGUGGGGAGCAAACGGGAUUAGAUACCCCGGUAGUCCACGCCGUAAACUAUGGAUGCUAGCUGUUAUAGGUAUCGACCCCUGUAGUAGCGAAGCUAACGCGUUAAGCAUCCCGCCUGUGGAGUACGGUCGCAAGACUAAAACAUAAAGGAAUUGAC